GCCAAGGAUCCAUGGAUUUCUGUUAAGGCCAUCUUCAAUUCAAUAGACUUGUACCAACACUUUCACCUACCUUUGUCUGCUCAAGCUUUUGAUGAGCUAAACCUGAUAAGAAAUAUGUUGGUCUCCCAUACAAGAGAUGACACUUGUAAGGAUUUAUGGUUCUGGCAGGGCUCUUCAAAGGUUUACAAACCUAAGCUGUUCUAUGGUCAUGUUUUUCAGAAUGAAACAUUCAACCACUUGCUGUGCUGGAUCUGGAAAUCCUCUUGCACUAUCAAGAUCAAGGUUUUUGCAUGGAUGCUCAUCAUGGAUAGACUCAACACUAAGGAUAUGGUUGAUAGAAGGCACUGGCACAUGGAUGAUGGUGUUACUUGUAGGCUAUGCCCCCUUCAAGUGAGAGAAACCAGAGACCAUCUCUUCUUUAACUGCAAUUUCAGUGUCAGAGUUUGGAAUUAUUUG
This 456-nucleotide ribosomal RNA is filed under the name Triticum aestivum (bread wheat). RNAcentral's name for it is "partial small subunit ribosomal RNA". The record is from RNAcentral. Lineage: Eukaryota; Viridiplantae; Streptophyta; Magnoliopsida; Poales; Poaceae.